This 251-nucleotide long non-coding RNA is filed under the name Panax ginseng (ginseng). RNAcentral describes it as "long non-coding RNA (PGIN_LNC009599)". Lineage: Eukaryota; Viridiplantae; Streptophyta; Magnoliopsida; Apiales; Araliaceae. The record is from RNAcentral.
CUUACGAAUAUUGAGACGCCCCCAAAAUUAGGUACACAUCACCCAUCUUGGGUCGCCACUUUCAUGGUACAUAAUUCAAAUACAAACUAACUUAUACAACAUGAGCUGGGAGUUUUAAAUACGCAUAUUGUCAUCUAGACAGUAUACAAACUCAAUGGAGUCCUCAUUAUAUUUAUUGUCACACUAUUUAACAGAAUAGUGAGGACUACUAGCUAAUGCUAUCAUCUGUUCCCCGACUAGUCCCAGCUACG